CAGCAGCCGCGGUAAUACGGAGGGUGCGAGCGUUAAUCGGAAUUACUGGGCGUAAAGCGUAUGUAGGCGGUUUGAUCAGUCGGAUGUGAAAUCCCCGAGCUUAACUUGGGAAUGGCAUUCGAAACUGUCAAGCUAGAGUAGGCUAGAGGAAAGGGGAAUUCCGCGUGUAGCAGUGAAAUGCGUAGAUAUGCGGAGGAACACCAAUGGCGAAGGCACCUUUCUGGGGUCAUACUGACGCUGAGAUACGAAAGCGUGGGGAGCAAACAGGAUUAGAUACCCUGGUAGUCCACGCCCUAAACGAUGUCAACUAGUUGUUGGGAGGGUUUAACCUUUCGGUGACGAAGCUAACGUAUUAAGUUGACCGCCUGGGGAGUACGGCCGCAAGGUUGAGACUCAAAGGAAUUGACGGGGACCCGCACAAGCGGUGGAUGAUGUGGUUUAAUUCGAUGCAACGCGAAAAACCUUACCCACCUUUGACAUGUACGGAAGCCUUUAGAGAUAGAGGCGUGCUCGAAAGAGAGCCGUAACACAGGUGCUGCAUGGCUGUCGUCAGCUCGUGUCGUGAGAUGUUGGGUUAAGUCCCGCAACGAGCGCAACCCUUGUCAUUAGUUGCUACAUUCAGUUGGGCACUCUAAUGAGACUGCCGGUGACAAGCCGGAGGAAGGUGGGGAUGACGUCAAGUCCUCAUGGCCCUUAUAGGUGGGGCUACACACGUCAUACAAUGGCUGGUACAAAGGGUUGCCAACCCGCGAGGGGGAGCUAAUCCCACAAAGCCAGUCGUAGUCCGGAUCGUAGUCUGCAACUCGACUACGUGAAGUCGGAAUCGCUAGUAAUCGUGGAUCAGAAUGUCACGGUGAAUACGUUCCCGGGUCUUGUACACACCGCCCGUCACACCAUGGGAGCGGGUUCUGCCAGAAGUAGUUAGCUUAACCGCAAGGAGGGCGAUUACCACGGCAGGGUUCGUGACUGGGGUGAAGUCGUAACAAGGUACCCGUA
RNAcentral lists this ribosomal RNA (996 nucleotides) under uncultured bacterium. RNAcentral describes it as "bacterial SSU rRNA". It matches the Rfam family "Bacterial small subunit ribosomal RNA", at positions 509 to 1504 of the family's 1533-position model. The record is from RNAcentral.